Molecule: RNA transcript, 2628 nt
Organism: Cannabis sativa
Lineage: Eukaryota; Viridiplantae; Streptophyta; Magnoliopsida; Rosales; Cannabaceae
Exons: 4
Source: RefSeq, a predicted model, not a curated record
ACAUUUUAUGUAUACAUUUAUUUAAUCAUCAUUAGUAAACUCGAUGUGGAAAUAGUUGAUUGCUUAGAAAAUGUUAUUUUGUUAAAUUAAGAGAAUUAUGAUAUUUUUAUAAAUUAAACUUUCAUAGUUAUUAUGGGCUUCGGACUAGGUGUACUUCAGAUUGGGGUUAGAAAAUUAAGAAAUAUUUUGAGUAUUAUGUUAUUAAGUAAAAGUAAUGAAUAUAGUGUUAUAUUAUUGAGUGGUAAUUAUUCUUAUAUAUGUAUUUUUUUUCUUCCUUAAGCCAUGCAUGGAAUAUAGGAGAUCUUGUAACUAAGUGGACGUGUGUAAUGUGGUUUCAAAUUUAAAAUCAAUCUUAGAUUAGGUGGAGGUAGAGGCUCUCAAAGAUAUCUUAUCUACCUUGGAAUAAGGCUUGAACAUGUGUAGAGUUAGUUAGAGUCAGUUGAAUUAAUAGAAUAGAUAAAAGAUAAAUGUGUAGAUUUUAGUGGAGUUACCUUAAUAGUAAGACUAUAUUAAACUGCCACAUAGUUUGUGGUAACUGCAAAUUAUUCUCUUUGACCGAGUAGUGUGGUGAAAAUAAGAGCUUGAUUAUUUAUUUAAAUAUUUUUAAAUAUUAAUUAGAGUUAGUAGAGUUAUGGCAUUGGUUAACUCUAAAGUCUAUAAAUAGAGAGUGUAUGUUCAUUUUUUUUUAUCUGAGCCACACUCACCAAUUACUCUCUCUUUCUCUCUCGUAACCAUCUUCUUUCAUUCCAAUUUAUCUCUUUGUUUUCAUCAAGAGCCAAGCACCAAUAUCACCAUCAAACUCUCAUAGUUUUCUUUUUACUUCAUUCACAGCCAAUGCUUCAAACUUCCAUUCAUACCACCUCACACAACCAUACAUUACCAUACGCCACUUUUAUUUUCAAAAUCACCAUCAUCUUCUUAUAAUUAUCAUAUAGCCACAACACCAUAAUUUUUGUUAUUUAGCCAAAACACAUGAACUUCACCAUUGCUACCAAUUGUUCACCAAGUUAUAGAGUUCUAAACUUAGGGCUGCAAUUAGUUGGUGUUUUCAUUUCCAAAAAUUAAGGUUUACGUGGUAUGUAUACAAGGCUUUGGUUCUACAUAUAAUUUUCGUAAUCAAGCUAGGAUCUCCACAUUCGAGAUUAAGGUUCUAAAACUUAGAGAGCCGGUGGCAAGUGAGACCUUGGAGGCUUGUGUGUGUACUCGCUGAGGACCAUAUAACUGAGGGUGGUCUAGGGCACGCUCCAUUUAUUUUAUUUAGAGUUAUUAGACUAAUGUCGCAGUUAUUUUGAUUUAUUAAUUAUUAUGUCUUUUAAGUCCAAACUGAGCUCAAAUAUGAAAUAUUUUAUGUUUAUAAAUAAAAGCGACAUUAUAGAUUUUCCGCAUUUUAACGCUUGUAACUAAAUUAGUAAUUUAUGAAAAGUACGGGCGUUACAGUUUGGUAUCAGAGCCACAGUUAUAUUGGUCCCGAACGUUCUCACGAGUUACACAUAUCGGCUGAAAAGGUUCCACUCGCUACCAAAUUAAGGUUCUAAAACUUAGAGAGCCGGUGGCAAGUGAGACCUUGGAGGCUUGUGUGUGUACUCGCUGAGGACCAUAUAACUGAGGGUGGUCUAGGGCACGCUCCAUUUAUUUUAUUUAGAGUUAUUAGACUAAUGUCGCAGUUAUUUUGAUUUAUUAAUUAUUAUGUCUUUUAAGUCCAAACUGAGCUCAAAUAUGAAAUAUUUUAUGUUUAUAAAUAAAAGCGACAUUAUAGAUUUUCCGCAUUUUAACGCUUGUAACUAAAUUAGUAAUUUAUGAAAAGUACGGGCGUUACAGUUAUUGUGACAGUCAGUAGUCCCGUGAUCCGUUAGGGGAAACACCGGGUAAGCUGUGCAAUCCCACACCGCCUGGGGAAGGUCAAGUGGGAUGAUUCUGAGACUGUGUAGGUAUGGGACUACACAGUUGAAGAGGGCUUAAAUGGAUUGAUUGGUACUACCUAUAUCAACAAGGUGCAUCUUGUUUUUCGGUAGCCCAUCACGAAAGAACUCCACAGUUAAGCGUGCUUGGCUUGGGAGCAAUUUCAAGGAUGGGUGACCUCCUGGGAAGUUUUCCCAGGAUGCGUGCGAGUGAGGACAAAGCACGCUGGAAACACUUGUGUUGGUCUGUAGGGUCAGUCAUCAAUCCAGGAAGCAGCCAGAGUGGCGUACUCGUGUAUAAGAGCCAUUAUUCCGUGGGUGUAAGGACCCAAUGGAGGCUUGAAGCGGGGACGUUACAAAUGGUAUCAGAGCCUUGACCCAGCCGGAAGUGUGGUCGACGAGGACGUCGGACCCCGUAAGGGGGGGUGAUUGUGACAGUCAGUAGUCCCGUGAUCCGUAAGGGGAAAUACCGGGUAAGCUGUGCAAUCCCACACCGCCUGGGGAAGGUCAAGUGGGAUGAUUCUGAGACUGUGUAGGUAUGGGACUACACAGUUGAAGAGGGCUUAAAUGGAUUGAUUGGUACUACCUAUGUCAACAAGGUGCAUCUUGUUUUUCGGUAGCCCAUCUCGAAAGAACUCCACAGUUAAGCGUGCUUGGCUUGGGGUAAUUUAAGGAUGGGUGACCUCCUGGGAAGUUUUCCCAGGAAGCGUGCGAGUGAGGACAAAGCAUG